RNAcentral lists this ribosomal RNA (253 nucleotides) under uncultured bacterium. RNAcentral describes it as "partial 16S ribosomal RNA". It matches the Rfam family "Bacterial small subunit ribosomal RNA", at positions 524 to 776 of the family's 1533-position model. The record is from RNAcentral.
UACAGAGACUGCAAGCGUUAUUCGGAUUCACUGGGAGUAAAGGGUGCGCAGGCGGCCAAGUGUGUGAGGCGUGAAAGCCCGGGGCUUAACCCCGGAAUUGCACCUCAAACUACAUGGCUAGAGCAUUGGAGAGGGUAGCAGAAUUCAUGGUGUAGCAGUGAAAUGCGUAGAUAUCAUGAGGAAUACCGGUGGCGAAGGCGGCAUCCUGGACCAACACUGACGCUGAGGAGCGAAAGCCAGGGGAGCAAACGGG